RNAcentral lists this ribosomal RNA (1479 nucleotides) under Triticum aestivum (bread wheat). RNAcentral describes it as "partial small subunit ribosomal RNA". Lineage: Eukaryota; Viridiplantae; Streptophyta; Magnoliopsida; Poales; Poaceae. The record is from RNAcentral.
AUGGAUGCGGCGGUGGAGGAGCUCCGCUCCGCGCUCAUCGCCACCGUUGCCGGCAACCGCGUGGGCGUCUCUGCCGAGGAGGUUUCUGAGGCUCUGCUGGCGCGAUUCAAUCUCCGCCGUGGCGAGUUCUCGGUGCACCCCCACCACCCUGGCGACUUCUCCGCUUCCACUCCCGGGAGGACCGUGCUCCCACCGCGGUACAGGCUUGUCUUCACUUCCUGGAGCGACCUCGCCGGUGGGGAGCCAGUCUCUGCGCGGUUCUGUGUGCGCAUAGCGAUGCGUGGGAUCCCGGACCAUGCAUGGAGUCGCUCGUCUGUGGUCACCCUGCUCGCCCUGUUCUGCCUCAUCGAGGAGAUCGCGCCCGAGACGCGCUCUGGGCGCGAGAUGUCUGUGUUCCGCCUCACCGCUUGGAUGGCCAACCCGGAUGCCAACCCGGCGUGCGAUGGUGUGCCGCUCGAUGCAGACCUAGAUCGUGUCUCCCGUUUCGCGUUGUCGCUGAUCCGCUUCCCGGUGGCCAUCCAUGUCGAGGAGACUGAAGAUUUCUGGAUGUCGGGCCCUCCGCCACCCCCUCCCCCGCCCCCGACGCCGACGCCGGCAACGGCCCUGAUCGUGAUGCCCCCCGGUCCCGAGCCAUGGCCUCACCGCCAUGCGUUUCCUCCUGGGCGUCCAAGCCGGCGCUUUCCAGGGCGCUCGCCGCACCGUGCCCCUUGCGGCAGGCAUGGUCGUUGCCGGCAGCUUCCUCAUCGUGGUUGGUGUGGGGUCUUGGGCCCGCAUCCGUCAGCUACACCGGCUGCGCCUCGGAUCCCUGCUACCUUGCACCUGACGCCUGCCGUCAGCGUCCCUGCUUUGCCUCUUCAAAGUGAUGGGCCCGCGUCUUCACCUGCGUUGCUGACCGUUCAAGACACCACGCCUCGGGCGAACGGCCGAUUGACCAGGUUUAAACCUCGUCGUCCACGGUCCUUCCUUCGGCUCCACCAACCCUGCUGCUCCUGGCCCCAACCGCGUCUGGGACGCGUGUCAGUUCUGCAUUGGCCGCCAGGGCUCUGGAACCUUCCCCGCCGCUGGCCUCAUCCGCUGAGGCUCCGCUUUCCCGCCCAGAUAGCACGGGCCCGACCUGCGAAGCCCCUGUUCAUGCCAGGCUUGUGGUGCCGGACCAAAUUCCCACACCAGGCUCGGCUCCACCCCCUAGGCUUUUGGCACCUUGUGUGUCUGUCGCCUCGGACCCGGAUCCCCCCGCUGGUUCCCCUGUGUGCAUGGAGCACGAGGAGGAUAUGCCUCUGCCAGACGUGCAUGCCCUGGAUCUCACGCCCCUGGUGGUUGGCGCCAUCCAAUCAGAGGGCCAGGCCCUGUCUCCUCCUGAUCUGCAUGGCCAGGUCACCUCAGACGAUCCCGAGGCCCAGAAUUCGCCACGUCUCCCCAAUGCAUGCAGGGCCAUGCAGCCGUUCCAGGGGCACGUUCUACCGAUCCAAGGUUUCCUGA